AUUGAACGCUGGCGGCAGGCCUAACACAUGCAAGUCGAGCGAGCGGCGGACGGGUGAGUAAUGUCUGGGAAACUGCCUGAUGGAGGGGGAUAACUACUGGAAACGGUAGCUAAUACCGCAUACCAUCGGAUGUGCCCAGAAGGGAUUAGCUAGCAGAUGGGGUAACGGCGCCCCUAGGCGACGAUCCCUAGCUGGUCUGAGAGGAUGACGAGCCACACUGGGACUGAGACACGGUCCAGACUCCUACGGGAGGCAGCAGUGGGGAGUAUUGCGCAAUGGGCGCAAGCCUAAUGCAGCCAUGCCGCGUGGAUGAAGAAGGCCUUCGGGUUGUAAAGUACGUUCAGCGGGGAGGCGUUACCCGCAGAAGAAGCACCGGCUAACUCCGUGCCAGCAGCCGCGGUAAUUC
Molecule: ribosomal RNA, 406 nt
Filed under: uncultured bacterium
Lineage: Bacteria
Description: partial 16S ribosomal RNA
Rfam family: Bacterial small subunit ribosomal RNA
Source: RNAcentral